This 1339-nucleotide long non-coding RNA is filed under the name Chrysemys picta bellii (western painted turtle). RNAcentral describes it as "lncRNA (ENSCPBG00000014052.1)". Lineage: Eukaryota; Metazoa; Chordata; Testudines; Emydidae. The record is from RNAcentral.
CAACGUUUUUAUAGAUGUUGUUAUAAAAAAAUGUUAUAAAUGUUUAUCAGCGUUUUUUGUUGAAUGAAAUGGGGAUUUUCAGUAAAUGAAAAAUAUUGAUAAUGUUCUGGAUAAAGUUUCAAUUAAAAAUGUCAUGGACAUUUUCACAAAAAAUGAAAAAUUUUGAAAAUGUCAAUUAUUUUUGUGGCAUUUUUCUUUUUUUCCCUUCUUUUUCUUUUUUUUAAAAAGGCCAUUUUAUGAUGAAAAAACUGCUUCAAGAAUUUCAACCCUCUUGACAGGUCAGUUUCAUUUUUGUUUCCAGCCAGUUUCACUUUCCAAUUAUUAUUCAAGUGAGUGCAAGAACAAAGAUGAUCCCACAUUGGGCAGAGAUUCAGCUCUGAUGUAUUGGGCUUUCCUAUUCCUAUACACAUUACUCUCAACUCCUUUAGCCAGCUUCCAGAGCAGGUGUGGCAUUCUGCAAAAAAGACGAUCAAGUGAAAGCAUGAAGGGGAAUCUUGUCCCCUUCUCCGAGUGUGUCUGGGAUAUCAAAAAAGCAGCAGAACUGGUUAAGGUUCGGCUGCACAGGAGAAUACAAUAUGGGGAACCCAAAGAGGGGGUCUGCAGACCCUGCAUGCCAGCCAGAUAUACUUGUUAAGGGGCUCCUUCCAUGCUGUCAUCUGCCAGAACAGGAUGUGGAUACCUCAGAUAAAUGCAUCCCUUCAAACACUAUCUCUCAUCAGCCCUCCACUUGAUUGAUGAGUAAAAACUGGCCCUCAAUCUCAUUUAAACAAACAGUAAGGGCACGUGAGACAUACUAUUCGUAACAGUAAUAGAUAACACUUCAAUGGUGCUUUUCGGUCAUUAGACUCAAAGCACACAAUGAUCAGGUACCAUUAAACAUCUUUAUCUCCAUUCUACAGGUGGGGAAACGGGGGCAGAGUGAUUUGUAGUGUUUUGGCCAAGAUCACACAGCAAGUCAGUGGUGACAGAGCCAGAACUGGAACCCAGUUCUCCUACCUCCCGCACUUGUGUCCUAUUUACCGGAGCACACUCGCAAUGCAGAUGAAUACACCUAUAGUUUAGGCUUGUGUGUGCCCAUGAGCAGACCUGUAAUGCAGAUGCAUUGGAGGACAACAGCUUUUGCUAUAUGCUACAGAGGGCUUUGCAAAAUUAAGGUCAUAAUGGAAGGCACGAUCCUUGGCUUUAUAGUGUAGUAAUUAUGAUUGCCAGUAGUUAUGAUAAUUAGUUUUCUUUUUUUAAACAGGAACAAUAAUUUUUUUCAGAUAGACAUACAGUACUGUCCAUAGUACAUUUUAGGCCAAGUAUUUUAUGUAAAUAAAAUAAAAAGUAACACAAUUCA